CAACUCUGACGUUUUAAGGGUAAUGCAUUAUGGAUGUACCACAUACAAAGGCAGCAUUUAGCUGCGAUCACAUCUAGCAAACAGAAACUGAUUCUCUGAAUCCUGCUUAUCAGUGGACUGUGCUUGAUCGCGGCUCUCGAAUCAUUUAGUCUAUAAAAUUCAAUGAAAGAAACUGAUGAAAAUGGGUCAGAUGAUUUCCGCUAAGGGUAAGAAUGAAAGAUCGAGGAAAGAACGCAGCCUCCAUCCGUAUUCACUGCUUGUUUUCUCAAAUGCUGUCCUUCUGGAUGGAAAACUGUUCGUCUCUCCCCAGCAGUUCCAGGCCUAAUAGGCGAAGCCAAUUUUCCUGACGUUCUAUUUACCUCGUUUUUGCUUUCGUUUCCUUUGAUAAAGACCUAUUGGUAUGAAGACUGAGGAGGUGGGGGGACGGUAUUUUACAUCCCGGUUCUGGUUCAAUUACUUCCAGCUACAUCGGUACACUGCCAGAGACAGCUGCAGAAGGAAAGAGGCUGGUCCUUGCAGUAUUCUAAGGAAAGGAAAUGUCUGGCUUAUCUUCAAGAAAACCUCUGUCUACCUAUGGAGUCAGUGGUGGAACAAAUGACUUUCAAGAGGAAUACAAUCCCAAAUUAGGAGCCAUCUAUUUAAGAGACCAAUUCUUUAAAAUGAGUAUUAUGUUUGUUUCUUGUGUAUAACAUAGUAAUUUAGUAUUUAAAUCCAUUAAGAAAUAAUCAUCAUGAUAAGUCUAGUAAUCACAUGUCACCAUAUGAAAGUAUACACUAUCAGUGACCAUAUUCUUUAGGCUAUAUAUUAUAUCCCAGUGGUUUGUUUACUUUAUAGAUAGAAGUUUGUACCUCUUAAUCUUUUUCUCUUGUUUCAACCACAUUCCACCUUCCUCCGCUUUGGCAACCUCUAAUUUGCUUUCUGUAUAUAUAAAUUUGUUUUUGUUUUCUUUUGUGUAUUUUAUUUUAUAGAUUCCACAUAUAAGUGAGAUGACAUUGUACUAGUCUUUCUCUGUUUAACUUAUUUCACUUAGCAUAAUACCGUCUAGGUCAAUCCAUAGUGUCACAGAUGACAAUACUUGAUUCUUUUUUAUGCCUGAGUAAUAUUCCAUUGUGCGAAUGAUGUGUAUGUGUGUGUACACAUCACACACGUCCUCUUUAGAAAUUCAUCAUUUGAUGAUCACUGAGGAUGAUUUCACAUUCGGCUAAGAUAAAUAGUGCUGAAAUGUAUGUAGCUGUGCAUACAUCUUUUUGGAUUAGUAUUUUUGCUUUACUAGGGUACAUACUCAGAAAUAGAAUUGGUGGAUUGUGUGAUAGUUCUAGUUU
RNAcentral lists this long non-coding RNA (1322 nucleotides) under Bos indicus x Bos taurus (hybrid cattle). RNAcentral describes it as "lncRNA (ENSBIXG00005016528.1)". Lineage: Eukaryota; Metazoa; Chordata; Mammalia; Artiodactyla; Bovidae. The record is from RNAcentral.